UGACGAAGUUGCCGCGAAGGAAGUCAAGCGAAAAUGCGGUACAAAAAGAGUUCAAUUUCGUUCUCGUCCCUCCGUGCAAGGUUAAAGAAUUCCGAGCGAGCUAAAAGAGAUAAUUGUGAGAUCAACCGUGGCCUCGAUUAAACAAAAGCAGAGAAGAAACUAGAGCAGACAGAAACAUCAAAGAAGAAGAAGAAAAAACAGUUCAAUCGAUGUUGACUUGAACAGGACCAGUGUCGAUAUUGAAAAGUUGCAUCGCUUAUUCGUCCACAAGUUUCGUUUUAAAUCGCGAUCUCGGAGUCACUCCCAAUCGAGUGAAAUUAAAGCGAACGACGCGCGAGCAUCGUUCUGAAAUAUAUUAAAGAAAA
Molecule: non-coding RNA, 365 nt
Organism: Megalopta genalis
Lineage: Eukaryota; Metazoa; Arthropoda; Insecta; Hymenoptera; Halictidae
Source: RefSeq, a predicted model, not a curated record